This 263-nucleotide signal recognition particle RNA is filed under the name Dehalococcoidia bacterium. RNAcentral's name for it is "signal recognition particle sRNA large type". It matches the Rfam family "Bacterial large signal recognition particle RNA". From Rfam's summary of the family: The signal recognition particle (SRP) is a universally conserved ribonucleoprotein involved in the co-translational targeting of proteins to membranes. Archaeal SRP consists of a 7S RNA and homologues of the eukaryotic SRP19 and SRP54 proteins. In most bacteria, the SRP consists of a 4.5S RNA and the Ffh protein (a homologue of the eukaryotic SRP54 protein). The record is from RNAcentral. Lineage: Bacteria; Bacillati; Chloroflexota; Dehalococcoidia.
CUAUGCUAGACGGGGAGCUAGCGGUGCCCUGUACCCGCAAUCCGCUAUAGCGGGGUUGAAUCCCUCUCCCAGGCCCGGCCUGUGUGCCGCUGCCCUCACAGGGUGGUAUAGAAAGUCGGGUCCCUCGCGACGAAGGUCUGUGAACCCCGCCAGGUCCGGAAGGAAGCAACGGUAAGCGGAACCCUUUGGGUGCCGAGGGAGGGCCUAACUGGAGCCAACCUUAAGGACAUGCUCAAAGACCGUUGUCGAGGAGAGGUGCAUAG